This 370-nucleotide ribosomal RNA is filed under the name uncultured bacterium. RNAcentral's name for it is "bacterial SSU rRNA". It matches the Rfam family "Bacterial small subunit ribosomal RNA", at positions 29 to 429 of the family's 1533-position model. The record is from RNAcentral.
AACGAACGCUGGCGGCAUGCCUAACACAUGCAAGUCGAACGAGACCUUCGGGUCUAGUGGCGCACGGGUGCGUAACGCGUGGGAACCUGCCUUUAGGUUCGGAAUAACUCAGAGAAAUUUGAGCUAAUACCGGAUAAUGUCUUCGGACCAAAGAUUUAUCGCCUUUAGAUGGGCCCGCGUUGGAUUAGCUAGUUGGUGGGGUAAAGGCCUACCAAGGCGACGAUCCAUAGCUGGUCUGAGAGGAUGAUCAGCCACACUGGGACUGAGACACGGCCCAGACUCCUACGGGAGGCAGCAGUGGGGAAUAUUGGACGAAUGGGCGAAAGCCUGAUCCAGCAAUGCCGCGUGAGNGAUGAAGGCCUGGUGUAAG